AGCUGCGGGAGGCAGCUAGACAGACAAGAGCAGAGCGAGGACGAUGGGCCAGGUACAGAAGGUCACCAGGGCGGAAAGCCCCGGGUGCCUAGCAACAGACAAAUUUGGUAAAACCAGGACCUC
Myotis davidii is the source of this 123-nucleotide long non-coding RNA. RefSeq lists it as uncharacterized. The transcript has 4 exons. Lineage: Eukaryota; Metazoa; Chordata; Mammalia; Chiroptera; Vespertilionidae. The record is from RefSeq and is a predicted model, not a curated record.